Molecule: small nucleolar RNA, 103 nt
Organism: Ailuropoda melanoleuca (giant panda)
Lineage: Eukaryota; Metazoa; Chordata; Mammalia; Carnivora; Ursidae
Source: Ensembl
AUCCUUUUGUAGUUCAUAAGUGUGAUGAUUGGGUGUUCAUGCCAUUGUGUGACAUGUGCCCCCCCCCACCUUGUUACAACCUUGGCACAUUAUCCAUCUGACA